Molecule: long non-coding RNA, 353 nt
Filed under: Spirodela polyrhiza (greater duckweed)
Lineage: Eukaryota; Viridiplantae; Streptophyta; Magnoliopsida; Alismatales; Araceae
Description: long non-coding RNA (SPOL_LNC001976)
Source: RNAcentral
GGAGAAGUGGAUCGACCGGAGACUGAGCCGCGAGAGGCGGACCUCCGGAUCGGAGGGCCAGAGGAAGAACGCCGCCGCGCCGAGGAGGAGCGCGGCGGAGAAGAAGGCGAGAAGCGAGGACGAGGAGAGAAGGGAAUUGCAGCAGGAGCAGCGUCCCUGGUGGCGCCGCCGGCGGAAGGGGAGUAGGACGACGUAUGGCUGAGGCGGCGCCGCCGCCGCCGCCUGGUAGCCGCCGACGGGAACACCGUAGUAGGCAGGCAGGGGUGGCUGGUGGUGCUGCUGCGGCAGCAGGAGGGGCUCCCCGACGGCCGCCGCUGCCUCCGCCGCCGCUGCUCCGCCUCCGGGCUUCGCCA